Molecule: long non-coding RNA, 6989 nt
Filed under: Mytilus galloprovincialis (Mediterranean mussel)
Lineage: Eukaryota; Metazoa; Mollusca; Bivalvia; Mytilida; Mytilidae
Source: RNAcentral
AGUUUUAGAUUGUUUUUUUUUUAACCUGUACUCAGUUAUUUUGAGUAUUUAGCAAUAAUGUCAUUUAUUGUUUCUAAAUUAAUUGUUGUGCUGUAUUUGUGGAAAAUUGUGAAAAAAAGUGUUCAGGUAUUUGGUUUGUUCAAAACUUCACUUGUUAAUAUUAAAUUAAAUCAGAAGAGAUGAGGUAUUUUUACAGAAGGUGUAAAAUCAUUGAAAAAAAGAUUUUUAAGGUACAGACAUAGUACUAGUUCUGUGCCUGAAACUAUAUGGUUGUGUAUCCCUUGUUAUAUAUCCUUAAGACGAUAUCAAAUGUUUACUUCAGUGAGUUUUUUGUUGGAUUGAAGAAAAUUUCUCAACAUCUUAAAGAAUUGGCUUAUUCCAUGGAACCAGAAAUUAUUUACAUAUUAUAUGACAAAAACUUUCAUGGUAUAAACGGAAAUCUAGGUAGCCAUGUCAAAGUACAAAAAUUGCUUCUGAAGUAAAAUUGUUGAUAUUUCCUCUAUCUGGUAAUUUAUUUUCCUCAUAUUUUAUUAUUUAUGGUUUCCAGUGCUUUAUGUUGAUGUUUAUUAACCUGACCUCACGAUUGAACAUUUAAAUCUAGUCUAUAACCAUAUGUACUAAACUUUAUAUUCCUCUCUUGUUGGAAAGGAAAUACUUUUUAAGUUUUACAUUUCUUAAGUACACUUCAUUUUUAGAAAUGUAGAGUUCAGAAAAACAUAUGAAUUAAUUAUUACUUUGAAUAAAUACAACAUUAUUAUUUCCAGUAGUAAUUCAGAUUCAAUUUUUCAUCUUUUGGCAAGAUAAAAUUAAAUAUUUAUUUUCUGAUUUUUCAUUCAUGAAAUGUACUUUUUCAAUGUGGCGGCUUUAUAUUAUGCAGGAAGUGCAUAUAUAAAAAAAAAAAACAUUUACACUACUUUAGAUGCUGAAUUGAUUAAAACAUAUCAUAUUAAACCCUGCCUUGCCAGCAUUGGUUUUUAGCUGUUUGUGACUUUUUAUAUAUUUAAAUGAUUAAUUUUUUAAUGGGCGAAUAAGGAAAGUUUGGUCACAUUUUCUGGAUAUAAUUUUUUAAGAAUAAACAAGAUUCCAAAUACUAUAAAAAAAAAAAUGACAUUUAACUAAUUGUGCAGUGAAGACCACACAGUUUUGCUGUUAUCCCCAUAAAACCCAUACAUUUUUGUAUAAUACUUAUUUAAAAUAAAAACCUGAUAUCUAAAAAUAUCAGAUUUGUUCAAACUUAACUUACUGGAUAAAAUUAAAGUAUUUUCAGCUGAGAUUAAACAGUUAAGUGUUCAAAGUCAUUUUAUUUUUUUUUUAAAAGAGGAAAGACUUUUGUAAUGUUAUCAGUACUACAACAAUGUGACUAAAUAUUGGUUGGCUUGCAAGAAAUACAGGUUAGAGUGUUAGCUAUAAAUGAGCUUAUUUAUUGCCUUUUUGUACAAAAAUGAAAUUUGACUUUUUAUAUUUUAUUCAUUGAAUUUUUAUAAGACAUAACAUAACUGGCCAAAGUGUUUUUAGAAGUAUAUUUUGAAUACAUUUAACAGCAAUCAAACUUAUUGUUGUCUAUUUAAUAUUCAUUUGGUGUAAUUACUUUUAAUAUUUAUGUCAAAAUAGCGGAUUUAUAUGCAAAGCUUAAUUUAGAGAAAAAUCAUUGCUGAAUCUUUUAAAUUUUACAUCUUUCAUUUCAAACAUUAUCAGAGCUUAGUAGAAAAAUAUACAAAAUAUAACAUCUUGCAUAUCCUUUUUCAGAUGCUUUUGUUUAAUGGUAUUAUUGAUACAUGCAUGUAUUUUUAUCCUAAGUUUAAAAAAUGGAUGUAAAAAUUAUAAAUUAAUUCAAACUUUGAUAUAUAUCUAUAUGUAUUCAUUUAAUUUUUCAAAUACAAUAGCUGUAAAUGAUGCCACAUUGUUGAAUAUGAAACUUAUGAAGAGAAAAUUUUUUUUUUUUAUAAUUAAGAAACAACAAAAGAUUAAACCGACAGAUUUUAUGCAGGGAUUGUUUUUGUUAGUGUUCUAGUAGCUCCAUAUUCCAUUUCUGUGAUGACAGAAAUUUCAAUAAAAGGUUAGAGUAUAUAUUUUGUUUACGGUGCUAUUGUUUUUAUAUAAAGAUGCCUAAUUUAUAUUUUUUAUUCCUUUGUUACUGAUGUAUUUAUUUGUAUUAACCAGACACCUCUCAAAACAAUGAUUACUGUGAUCAUUCUGGUUACUGUAUACUGGUGAACUGUUAUCUGUGAUGGUUGUCAUGGUGAAGGAAGUGUUGCCAUGGUGACCAUAUGACAGUGUUGUCAUGGUGAUUAUAGUUGUUUCAUGGUUUACAUAUCGUGUGUAAUAUUUAUACACUGUAUGUUAAAAAUGAUGGCUUAGUGUAAGUUAUAGACGGGCAAGAAAUGGACAGGACCUUUCACAGAGGUUGACACCCAAUCUUUUAUAUAGCAUGAAAAAAAAACUUUUUCUAAACUUUUGUACUGUACUCAAGAUAAUUCCAUUUCAUAAUUGUUUUGUUAUUUUUAUAUUAUUUGUAUCUAAGAUGCACAAUAUUUAUGACUUAUUAAAUUGCUUUUGGUGAAUUUAAACUUGCUCAUGGAAGAAAUUUCAGACAAUGUUUAUGCAAUUGUUAGGGGAAAAAAUCAGUUUCAUCUUUGACUUCUUUUUAUUUCCUCCUUUUUCCUAUUAAUAAUCAUGAUCCUUUAAAAGAUUUGGGAAGUCAGCUUUAAAACUUGGUUCAUUAAACAAGUUAAAUGUAUUUUUCAUACACUAGUCAACAAAGAAUGUGGGCUAUUGAUACUUCAAAUUAAAAUCUAUGCACAAAAUAUAUUAACACCAAACCUUAUUUUAUACAAGUUUAUUCUGUAAUGAUAUUGAAUUAAUGUAGCAUUUCAAGAUAAAUUAUUUUUUAGUGGGAAUUUCAAGAGAAAUUUCAUAUAGGAGAAAUUUUUGCAAAGAUCGCCUUUGUUUUUUCUUGUAUUUUCAAUUUGUUAUAAAAAAGGCUUACUAUACCAAUGACAAAAAUAUUACUGUGCUUCCUUGUAAAUACUUUCAAGGAUUUUGUAUGACCGAACAAACAAAAAAAGGUAUUUUUUCAUAUUGAUUCUGAUGUUGAUUCCUGUUUUUUUUAAUUGUUUAUUGAUGUAAAUAUCUGGUUGUUGUUCCUAUUUAUUAAAAGUUGUUAAGUAGAUAUUUCUCUGUGAACUCUGUGUUAUUUAAAGCCUAAAAUGUUUGUCAAUGUUUUGUCUAUGCAUGAAGUAAACUCAUUAUAUUAUUGACCCCUUUGAGUCACCUUGGUUCCAUAAUUGUCUAAAGUAAAGGAAGGAAAACGCCUCCAAUUGACUUACUUGGUGCCAUGGAAACUGAUGAAUAAAUUGAGAUGUAGUAUAAUGAGAAUUACACAUUUUAAAGAAAAUACAUGGUUCAAAUUAUCAGAAAUUUUUAUUUGGUGAUUCAUUUGGAAGAGAAAUAGUUUUGAACAUUAAACUUCUAAAUUAACCACAUACAAAAGAAUUUGAAAUAAAAAAUAGUUUGUGCAUACAAUUGCCAAAAAGAGCAAAUGUUGACAAGUCAAAAAUAGUUUGUGCAUACAAUUGCCGAAAAGAGCAAAUGUUGACAAGUUAAAAUGGCCAGCUCCAACAACUGUCUGAAUAUAUUAAAAGCAAAAAGAAAUGAAACUUUAAUUAAGAGGAGAAACUAUAUACUGAUAACCAUAUUAGUUUCAUUGUUAUAUUCAGUCCUUACUUCAGAGAGAUUCAAAUGGUUUUCCAAAGAUUUAUACAUUUCUGAAAUUUGAAUUCAAGAAUAGAAAAUACUAUUUAAAUUUAUAUAGCAGAUAUUUAUAUAUCAGAUUAUUUAUUUAAUUGAAAAUUUCUCAGAUGGAGAUAUGUAUGUCUAUAUGUUCAGUAGUGUAGAAUAUAUUAUAAUUUUGUUAUGUUUUGUUAGUUACAGAGUUAAUAGUAAAUCUUGCCUUGGUUUUUUUAAUGUUAUUUUUAUACCUUUUCAUUUGAUAAAUGUGAUAUUCCUUUUUAAUUAUUUGAUAUUUGUUACUACUUCAAUUAUAAGCAGAUACUGUAACAUUUCAGAAGAUUUUCAGUUUUAGUCAUUUAUUUUUAAUAUCUUUAUUUUUGUAUUUUAUUUAUAUACUAUAGAAGUUAACUUUUUUUUGUAUACAGUGUUUAUUUUGUCUGCAGCUGCAUGUUUAACUACACAUAGCUAAAAGUACCAUCAAAAUUGUCACAUAUUCAAUAAUUGUCUUUGACAAUACAAGAAUGUACAUAUAACUAAGUGUUUUCCUGUAAGAAUAGCUUAGAUUACUAUUUUUAUGCCCCACCUACGAUAGUAGAGGGGCAUUAUGUUUUCUGGUCUGUGCCUCCGUUCGUCUGUCCGCUUCAGGUUAAAGUUUUUGGUCAAGGUAGUUUUUUGAAGAAGUUGAAGUCCAAUCAACUUGAAACUUAGUACACUUGUUCCCCAUGAUAUGAUCUUUCUAAUUUUAAUGCCAAAUUAUAGUUUUGACCCCAAUUUCAUGGUCCACUGAACAUAGAAAAUGAUAGUGCGAAGUUCAGGUUAAAGUUUUUGGUCAAGGUAGUUUUUUAUGAAGUUAAAGCUGCAUCAACUUGAAACUUAGUACACAUGUUCCCUAUGAUAUGAUCUUUCUAAUUUUAAUUCCAAAUUAAAGUUUUGACCCCAAUUUCACGGUCCACUAAACAUAGAAAAUGAUAGUGCGAGUGGGGCAUUUGUGUACUAUGGACACAUUCUUGUUUUAUAGUAAAAAUGAGAAUGAUCUCUAUUGACAUUCUUAUAAUUGGUUUACCAAAGCAGACAACUUGAAACUUUAUUGUAUGAAUUAAUUGAGGCUGGCUGAGACUUAUAUUCUGGAAAAAGUUGAUAUCCAGAGGAAUUUCAAAGACAAGUAUCAGAAUAGAAAGGAAAAAAUUAAGAUUAAGGUUGUAUGAAAUGGAAUGUGACAAAUUUGAUGGUAAUUUUAACUUGAUUAAAGAAUUCUUACAUUUGAAAGAAAUUGAAGAAGUAUUUAAUUCUGAGAGGCGAAUUCUUACAUUUGAAAGAAAUUGAAGAAGUAUUUAAUUCUAAGAGGCAUUUACUUUUAUUGUCGUUCUCUACAGUUGUGAGAUUUGAACUUCUUAAAGCUGAGGAUGAGCAGAUAUUUAAGAAUAACAAACAGAUCACAUUUAGAAAAUAAAUAUUCUUUUGUUGAUCUUUCUCUAGUCACUGGUUAUUAAUGUUUUGUUUUGUUUUAAACAAAUCAGUUAUUAAAUGCAAGCAUUUUUUGGAAGCUUUCAUCUUUCAAAAGAAUUGACAUGAAGAAAUUACUAAUUUUAAAAUUUAACCUUAUUUGGAGUUUGAAAUUUGUUUGAUUAUAUCAAAAGUCAAUUUUUCAACAUUUAUUUUAAAGUUUCUGUUUAUGUCACAUAGUUGUGGUAUGUUUUUUUUUGUCUAUUUUGAUAUUGGUUGUUUACCAAAAUCAGCUUGCCAGUAGAUAAAAUACAUAGAUAAUUUUCAUUUUAAAGCUAAUAUGAUACAUCACAAACAAAUUUCUAAAAAAGUGGAUUUAAUUUUUAAAUAGAUAAAAAUUUGGGCUGAUGAAAAGUUCAUACAAAAUAUUCAGAUUUCAAUAAUAUUAAAGUAUUGAUAGAAGAAGAAAAUUGUAUUAAAAAUGACAAGUAAAAAUUUAUAUUAAUUUAUGAAAAGUCCAGCCCAAAGAAGAAGACAUUUUGAUCUCAAUAUGUGUUUUCAUAUAUGAAAAGCAAUCUGAAAAAUAUCUGUGUAGUUUUAUACAAGUAUCUCCACGGCUGUACAUUGUUUUAAACAGAAUCGGCUCAGUUGUCAAAUGUAAUCUCUCCUAAGUGCAAUAUUCAAAUAAAAAGCAUAUUUUUGAUUGAAACAUGUAUUUUUACAAAAUCAUGUCACAUUUGUUAUUUAUCACGUGUAUAGAAAAAAAAAUCAAAUAGCUAUUUUCACAUGUUAUUUUACUACCUGUAGAUUUGUACGAGUUAAUAUUGUGAUGGUAGUUACUCAGUAUUAUGGUAUAUAUAUAUAUCAGAUAAAUUUUUCACAUUAUUUUUGGAAUAUUUUUGCUCUUAUGCUUGUUAGCCAUUUCACGUCAUAUUAGUACCUACCUAUCAGAUGUUUUCAAAGAACACCUUUUAUUUCCUUAUAAUGAUAUUCUAUAUUUAUGGUUCAUAUGUGUAAUACGCUUGUUAUCUUCCCUUAUCAGAUGUCCUUCUGAAAAGGUAAAAGUUAAAAGAAAAAAAGUUGUAUGCCAAGUACAAUUUCCUUUAAGCAUGGAUUGUGUAUAGAUUUGAUUUUGAAGCUCUCAUAUACAAUAUACUGCCUUUUGACAUCUAUCAAGGGAAUCGCUGAAGAAACAGUUAAUACAGAAUUUUAUUAAAAGUUGUUAAUUUUUGUUCAUGUUUAUGCAGAUGACAAAAAUUGCUAACUAAUAUAUGUACUUUUAAAAAAAAAAAGAGAUGCAGAUUUUUCCAACAAAAAAUCUUCCAACUUCUGCAAAAUUAUAACAUUCAUAUAAAAACCCAGAUAAAAAGAAACUGAAACCUUUCAAGGUUAUUUUGAAACAUAGAUAUUGCAAAUUAAAAUCAAAAAUAGAAUAGCAAAUUUGGAUUUUACUUUUUCAAAAGAAUUAUUUUCCUUAAUUUUUUUUAUUUAAGUCAUUUGAUAAAAAAAUAAAACAGAAAUAAAUGGUGUUCUUGAAGCAUGUAGACGAGACCAAAUUGUCAUCCAUGUUUUUUUUGUAUAUGGGAAGUUUUUAAAGUUAAUUUGUUCAUUGCUGCGUUGAUACAGUUUUUAUGUUUUUUUUAAUAAAGCAAAGUCCUUAUUUAUAAAAAAUGGUGUUGUGUUGUUAGUAUUAGCUGUCUCAGUUUGUAUAUUUAAAAUGAAGCCUUGUAAUUUGCCGUUAAUUUUUAACUUUUUUAGAUCUUUCUAACACAUAACAUUUUGUGUAAUAUUUCUUCUGAAUAAAAACUUUUUAGAAG